GCCUCAUUGGCUCAGGGGCAGAGCGUCUGUCUAGUAAACAGAAGGCCGCUGGUUCGAUUCCAGCAUGAGGCA
Non-coding RNA from Wuchereria bancrofti, 72 nucleotides. The record is from Rfam. Lineage: Eukaryota; Metazoa; Nematoda; Chromadorea; Rhabditida; Onchocercidae.